CAGGAUGUUCUGCUCUGAUUGGCAGGGAGAGUUUGAAGGUGGGUUGGCAGAGACUGUGACCGCAACUGACUGCGUUCUGCAGAAUUAUGGUAAUGAAAUUGGAAGCCAACUUUCGUGAAGCAGAAAGCCUCAAGUUUCCAGGUGCUGUGCUCAGUCCAGGAAUACAAUGAUGAAUACGAUCAAGGCCCUUUCAGAGCUGACACACACUAUACAUAAUGCAUCAAAAAUUGCGUUCUCGCUAUAUUUCUGUUUAUUUGGUUUUAUCUGCAAGAAUAUAGAUAGCAUCUGCUUUGAUAUAAAACUUUUAUGUGUCUUAUGUAGUUGAUUUGUAAAUGUCCUAUCUAUAAAUAUAAAACAAUAAAUUACUAGUUACAGUUAACUUAGGAAAACUUUUAAUCAUGUCCUACAUUUUACACCUUGUAAUUUCUACCAAAUGUUUGUAUUUUUAUGUCUUAUUAAAUAUAAUAAAUAUUUGUCUUAACAUA
This 485-nucleotide long non-coding RNA is filed under the name Homo sapiens (human). Its description in RNAcentral is "long intergenic non-protein coding RNA 972". The record is from RNAcentral. Lineage: Eukaryota; Metazoa; Chordata; Mammalia; Primates; Hominidae.